UACGUAGGGGGCAAGCGUUGUCCGGAUUUAUUGGGCGUAAAGAGCGUGUAGGCGGCUUGAUAGGUCCGCUGUGAAAACUCGAGGCUCAACCUCGAGCUGUCGGCGGAAACCAUCUGGCUAGAGUCCGGAAGAGGAGAGUGGAAUUCCCGGUGUAGCGGUGAAAUGCGCAGAUAUCAGGAAGAACACCCGUGGCGAAGGCGGUUCUCUAGUACGGUACUGACGCUGAGACGCGAAAGCGUGGGGAGCGAACAGG
This 253-nucleotide ribosomal RNA is filed under the name uncultured bacterium. RNAcentral's name for it is "partial 16S ribosomal RNA". It matches the Rfam family "Bacterial small subunit ribosomal RNA", at positions 524 to 776 of the family's 1533-position model. The record is from RNAcentral.